UUGCGGUUAAAAAGCUCGUAGUUGGAUUUCUGUUGAGGAUGACCGGUCCGCUCUUUGAGCGCGUAUCUGGUUCAGCCUUGGCAUCCUCUUGGGGAACGCUACUGUGCUUGAUUGCAUGGGGCGGUAUUCAAGACUUUUACUUUGAGGAAAUUAGAGUGUUCACUGCAAGCGUUAGCAAUUGAAUACAUUAGCAUGGAAUAAUAAUAUAGGACCUCGGUACUAUUUUGUUGGUUUCUAGAACUAAGGUAAUGAUUAAUAGGGACAAUUGGGGGCAUUCGUAUUAACGCGUCAGAGGUGGAAUUCUUAGAUUGCGUUACGACGAACUACUGCGAAAGCAUUUGCCAAGGAUGUUUUCAUUGAUCAAGAACGAAAGUAUGGGGAUCGAAGACGCUUAGAUACCGUCGUAGUCUAUACCAUAAACUAUGCCAACUAGAGAUUGGAGGUCGUUCUCUUUAUGACUCCUUCAGCACCUUAUGAGAAAUCAAAGUCUUUGGGUUCCGGGGGGAGUAUGGUCGCAAGGCUGAAACUUAAAGGAAUUGACGGAAGGGCACCACCAGGAGUGGAGCCUGCGGCUUAAUUUGACUCAACAC
RNAcentral lists this ribosomal RNA (590 nucleotides) under uncultured marine eukaryote. Its description in RNAcentral is "SSU rRNA". It matches the Rfam family "Eukaryotic small subunit ribosomal RNA", at positions 613 to 1206 of the family's 1831-position model. The record is from RNAcentral.